UUCAUCUGAUCCAGCUGUCUCUUCUCCAUUCUCCAGAAAUGAAAGGAGAGCCUGCGGAGAAAGAAGCAUUUCCCGGAGGAAGCAGUGGUUGCAUGCCAGCCUCAGCUCCAGGAAGGGAGGCCAUGCCAGGCACAGGCACAGGAGAUGAGGGUGCUGGGAAGGCUUCUCCAUCAGCUUGGAUGAAUAAAGUUUUGAAGCCCUUGGAGCCUCCUGCAGGUAUGUUCUCAGCGUGCCACCAAGGAAGAAUUGUAGACAAGCGGGCAGGCACCAGGUGACAGAAGCUUCUGUGGCUGUUGUGUUACAGAUGUGUCUACAGGGAAGACUUCUCCAGCUUCUCCAGCUGCUACCUUGGAUGCUGCACUCAAGCCCAGCUCCCAUCUCAGGGGUACUCCAACAGGGAAAAUCCAAGAUACAACAGAUAAGAUAUCCCUGGAACCAUCCAAACAGAUGAGGCAAGAGCUGAAGGAACCCCUGCAGACAAGAGAAGAGAUGGACAUAGUGCUUCAGUGGAAGGUGGUAUUUCUUGAAGGAAGCACUCCAUCUUCGGUGCCAGCCCCUGCUGCAGGAAGGAAGGCAAAGCCAGACACGGGCACAGGCACAGCAG
Passer domesticus (house sparrow) is the source of this 604-nucleotide long non-coding RNA. RefSeq lists it as uncharacterized. Lineage: Eukaryota; Metazoa; Chordata; Aves; Passeriformes; Passeridae. The record is from RefSeq and is a predicted model, not a curated record. The transcript is spliced from 4 exons.